AAUUUUAGAGCAGGAUUGGCUCCAAUAUAUUCCUUCAGACCUGCUACUUGGCAACACAAAAGGAACAAAAUUUUCAAAUUUUGAAUGGUGAUUUUUCUUCCAUGUAAACCAGCUAGUAGAAGGCAUCUCUAAUGUGUGUGUCACAAGAUAUCUUGCAGUGUUUGAAGCCAUAGGGGUAUAUAACCUUUUGAUUUCCCAUGUAGAAGGAUUAAUUUUUGUUCGUCGAUAUCCAAAUCUUGGAGGUCGCUUCUU
Molecule: long non-coding RNA, 252 nt
Filed under: Vitis vinifera (wine grape)
Lineage: Eukaryota; Viridiplantae; Streptophyta; Magnoliopsida; Vitales; Vitaceae
Description: long non-coding RNA (VVIN_LNC007131)
Source: RNAcentral